GACGAACGCUGGCGGCGUGCCUAAUACAUGCAAGUAGAACGCACAGUUUAUACCGUAGCUUGCUACACCAUAGACUGUGAGUUGCGAACGGGUGAGUAACGCGUAGGUAACCUGCCUGGUAGCGGGGGAUAACUAUUGGAAACGAUAGCUAAUACCGCAUAAUAUUGAUUAUUGCAUGAUAAUUGAUUGAAAGAUGCUAUUGCAUCACUACCAGAUGGACCUGCGUUGUAUUAGCUAGUAGGUGAGGUAACGGCUCACCUAGGCGACGAUACAUAGCCGACCUGAGAGGGUGAUCGGCCACACUGGGACUGAGACACGGCCCAGACUCCUACGGGAGGCAGCAGUAGGGAAUCUUCGGCAAUGGACGAAAGUCUGACCGAGCAACGCCGCGUGAGUGAAGAAGGUUUUCGGAUCGUAAAGCUCUGUUGUAAGAGAAGAACGGGUGUGAGAGUGGAAAGUUCACACUGUUACGGUAUCUUACCAGAAAGGGACGGCUAACUACGUG
RNAcentral lists this ribosomal RNA (505 nucleotides) under uncultured bacterium. Its description in RNAcentral is "partial 16S ribosomal RNA". It matches the Rfam family "Bacterial small subunit ribosomal RNA", at positions 28 to 507 of the family's 1533-position model. The record is from RNAcentral.